Molecule: ribosomal RNA, 253 nt
Filed under: uncultured bacterium
Lineage: Bacteria
Description: partial 16S ribosomal RNA
Rfam family: Bacterial small subunit ribosomal RNA
Source: RNAcentral
GACGAACCACACAACCGUUAUUCGGAAUUACUGGGCUUAAAGGGGGCGUAGGCGGCGCGGCAAGUUGGGUGUGAAAUCCCUCGGCUCAACCGAGGAACUGCGUCUGAUACUGGGAGGCUAGAGUAUGGGAGAGGGAUGUAGAAUUCCAGGUGUAGCGGUGAAAUGCGUAGAUAUCUGGAGGAACACCUGUGGCGAAAGCGGCUCACUGGACCACAACUGACGCUGAGGCGCGAAAGCUAGGGGAGCAAACAGG